AUGGAGCCCGGAAAGCGGGAGACAUGGCGGACGACGAUGCUGCUGGCGUACCAGAGCCUGGGGGUGGUGUACGGGGACCUGAGCAUCUCCCCGCUCUACGUCUACAAGAGCACCUUCGCCGACGACAUCACCCACACCGACUCCAACGACGAGAUCCUCGGCGUCCUCUCCUUCGUCUUCUGGACGCUCACCCUCAUCCCGCUCCUCAAGUACGUCUCCAUCGUGCUCCGAGCCGACGACAACGGCGAGGGCGGCACCUUCGCGCUCUACUCCCUCAUCUGCAGGCACGCCAACGUCAGCCUGCUCCCCAACCGCCAGCUCGCCGACGAGGAGCUCUCCACCUACAGCCUCGAGCGCCCGCCGGAGGAGGUCGCCCACGGCUCCCGCGUCAGGCGAUGGCUCGAGGCGCACCGCAGCCUCAAGACCGCCCUGCUCGUCAUGGUCAUGAUCGGGACCUGCAUGGUCAUCGGCGACGGCGUCCUCACCCCCGUCAUCUCCGUGUUCUCGGCUGUUUCUGGGCUUGAGCUCUCCUUGUCCAAGCAUCAGCAUGAAUAUGCCGUCACUCCGAUUACUUGUGCCAUAAUAGUGUUCCUGUUUGCGCUCCAGCAUUACGGCACCCACCGCGUCGGGUUUCUCUUCGCUCCCAUAAUUCUAGCCUGGCUGAUCUGCAUGAGUGCGCUUGGCGUGUACAAUAUCAUCUACUGGAACCCUCAGGUUUACAUGGCACUCAAUCCCGUAUACAUGUUCAAAUUCUUGAAGAAGACCAAGAAGUCUGGUUGGAUGUCCCUGGGAGGGAUUCUGCUCUGCAUGACAGGAUCUGAAGCAAUGUUUGCAGAUCUUGGCCACUUCUCCUACAGUGCAAUCCAGCUUGCUUUCACUUCUUUGGUGUACCCUGCACUGAUCCUAGGAUACAUGGGUCAAGCUGCCUAUUUAACCAAACACCAUGACUUCGACUCAAGCUACCAAAUUGGAUACUACAUCUCAGUUCCAGAGGCUGUGAGAUGGCCAGUGCUGGUGCUGGCGAUCAUGGCGUCGGUGGUCGGAAGCCAAGCGAUCAUCAGCGGCACCUUCUCCAUCAUCAACCAGAGUCAGGCCCUGAGCUGCUUCCCGCGGGUGAAGGUCGUGCACACAUCGGCGAAGGUCCAUGGCCAGAUCUACAUCCCGGAGAUCAACUGGAUGCUCAUGGUGCUCUGCAUCGCGGUCACCGUCGGGUUCCGCGACACCAAGCACAUGGGGAACGCGUCGGGGCUGGCGGUGAUCACGGUGAUGCUGGUCACCACGUGCCUCACGUCGCUGGUCAUGAUGCUGUGCUGGCACCGGCCGCCGGUGCUGGCGCUGGCCUUCUUCGUCUUCUUCGGAUCCAUCGAGGCGCUCUACUUCUCGGCAUCACUCACCAAGUUCCUUGACGGCGCGUGGGUGCCGCUCCUCCUCGCGCUCAUCCUCGUCGCCGUCAUGUUCGUGUGGCACCACACCACCGUCAAGAAGUACGAGUUCGACCUCCACAACAAGGUCACCAUGGAGUGGCUCCUCGCGCUCUGCGACAGGCUCGGCAUGGUCCGCGUCCCCGGCAUCGGCCUCGUCUACACCGACCUCACCUCCGGCGUGCCCGCCAACUUCUCCCGCUUCGUCACCAACCUCCCGGCCUUCCACCGCGUGCUCGUCUUCGUCUGCGUCAAGUCCGUGCCCGUGCCGCGCGUGCUCCCCGCCGAGCGCUACCUCGUCGGCCGCGUCGGCCCGCCGGGCCACCGCUCGUACCGCUGCAUCGUGCGCUACGGGUACCGGGACGUGCACCAGGACGUGGACUCGUUCGAGACGGAGCUCGUCGAGAGCCUCGCGUCCUUCAUCCGGCUCGACGCGCUCUUCCGGUGCAGCGACGCCCGCAGCGACGCCGACUACGAGCGCGAGAACGCCUUCACCGUCAUCGGCAGCAACCCGCUCCGGCGCCGCAUCAGCUACGACGACACCCACGACAGCGCGUCGUCCGUGGAGAUACGCGUGGAGAGCCCGACGGGCAGCAACGGGACGAACACCAUGGAGCUCACGGCCAUGCCGGCGGCGGCGCCGCGGGUGGUGAAGAGGGUGAGGUUCCUUGUGGACCCCGGGAGCCCCGACGUGGAGGACAAGCAGAUGCUGGAGGAGCUCCACGAGUUGUGCGAGGCGAGGGAGGCCGGCACGGCCUUCAUCAUGGGCCACUCCCACGUGAAGGCCAAGCCCGGGUCGUCGCUGCUCAGGAGGCUGGCUAUCGGGUACGGCUACAACUUCCUGCGCCGGAACUGCCGCGGCCCGGACGUCGUGCUGCGCGUGCCGCCGGCGUCGCUGCUUGAGGUCGGCAUGGUCUACGUGCUGUGA
RNAcentral lists this ribosomal RNA (2349 nucleotides) under Triticum aestivum (bread wheat). RNAcentral's name for it is "partial small subunit ribosomal RNA". The record is from RNAcentral. Lineage: Eukaryota; Viridiplantae; Streptophyta; Magnoliopsida; Poales; Poaceae.